RNAcentral lists this ribosomal RNA (489 nucleotides) under uncultured bacterium. Its description in RNAcentral is "partial 16S ribosomal RNA". It matches the Rfam family "Bacterial small subunit ribosomal RNA", at positions 28 to 507 of the family's 1533-position model. The record is from RNAcentral.
GACGAACGCUGGCGGCGUGCUUAACACAUGCAAGUCGAACGGAAAGGCCCCCACCUUGGUGGGGGUGCUCGAGUGGCGAACGGGUGAGUAACACGUGGGUGAUCUGCCCUGUACUUCGGGAUAAGCUUGGGAAACUGGGUCUAAUACCGGAUAGGACCAUGGUUUAGUGUCUCAUGGUGGAAAAAUUAUUGUUUUGGUGCAGGAUGAGCUCGCGGCCUAUCAGCUUGUUGGUGGGGUAAUGGCCUACCAAGGCGUCGACGGGUAGCCGGCCGGAGAGGGUGGACGGCCACAUUGGGACUGAGAUACGGCCCAGACGCCUACGGGAGGCAGCAGUGGGGAAUAUUGCACCAUGGGCGCAAGCCUGAUGCAGCGGCGCCGCGUGGGGGAUGACGGCCUUCGGGUUGUAAACUCCUUUCGUUAGGGACGAAGCCACACCUUUUUUGGGUGUGGUGACGGUACCUUUGUUAAGAAGCACCGGCUAACUACGUG